GUUAAUUGGGGAAAAAAAUCCAAUGUUGUAAAGAAGUCUGUCACUUAGUAACAUCUGUGGAAGGAGAGGAGUCAGUGUGAAGCCGAGCCCUGGAUAUUUGAUGGAAACGGGGAAGUGUGCAGGAGCUUUCGGCAGAGACAGCUGGAGACUGUAGGAAGAUACAUGCCAGAGUGAGUCUCAAUCCCCUGACACACCUGUAAGAGGUAGAACACUGUAUGGCAAAGCAGCACUUGCCACAGGCACACCACCGGGUUCCUCUGGCAAGACUCUUCAGCAGCUUGCGGGGAAGAGUUUUUUCCCAGUCAGACAACUGUGCCUCAAAGUAUCAGGUUUUGCGUAAGGCUAAGACAUCUAUCCAGAAGUUGGAGCAAACCUUGUGUUCUUUGCUGAAGAUGAAAGAGAGCUACAGUCUGGAGGAUGGGAACCCAUCCAGCUUGGAGGAAGUCAGGGAGGAAUAUGUCAAGAGGCAAUUCAGCAAUCACAGCAUUACCUCAGCCUCAGAAGACGUGAGUGAAAGUGACUCUGCCAUCUGGUAUUUGAUUCAAGAAUGUGAAAAACAAACACUGGAAGAAGAUGGGAAGCCAGAACUGAUCCAGUUUUCAGACACUUCUUCCCCAGAUCUAGUGGAAUUUGAACGAUACCUGUAUUUUUAUAAGCAUACAAUGGACCUGCUGAUAGAGCAUGGAAUUGUUUGCACUGGAGAAGUGCCUCUUCCUGAGGUCUCCACAGCUAUUUCCCAUUUCUGGCAAGAGCUUUCUGAAGAAAGCAGGGACAGCAUCUUGCAGUACUGUAGUCAGAGAGAUUUCCUCGUGGAUUCCAAGGCUUCUGGCCAAGAGGCUGCAUGCACUGAAGGGAGCGUGAGGGACAGCGGAGGUAACAGUGAGGAAGCCAGUGGUUCCUCAGUCUCCACACCAGAGGAAGUAAUGUUUGAAGAUGCAUUUGAUGUUGCUGCUGGUUUCCUUGACAGAAGCAAGACUCAGGGAAUGUCUAGCCAGAGUUCAGCAAUUGCAAGCUGCAAUUCUGAUAAUCCAGAGGAUCACCACAGACUCUAUCUGCUGGUCACUGACUUCCUAAAACGCCUCUUCUUUGCUAAUACACAGUUUUUCCAGCAGUCUUUCCCUAAAGAGUCCUGCAUCAGUACAGAAGAUGGACUAGAGGGACUGCAAGCAUGAACACUUUCAUCUUCCAGACUUUGAUUUCUCAAGAGCCGCUUAUUCUCUGUAAGCUGGUGAAAGAGAAGACCACUUCCUUCUGUUGCUAAAAGUGGAGCAAAGCCUGAAGAAGAAGAUCUUCCAUACGAUUAUGAGACUGUGAUGCUGAGGUGCACUGAGACCUUCGAUGAUGAAGAUUUCUAAACAGGACCUCUCUUUGCUAAUGUUUUGCCAAGCAGUGUCAGGUACACCAGGCACGUGAAGAGGCUUCACCUCCUUCAGUGAAGCACCUCUCUGAGCAGUGCGUGGAGACACUGCGUUGAAGUGGUUUGUUACCAUUGACUUCUCCUUCCCUCAUUAGUACUUCUUGAUAUAUCAGUUGAGUAAUUUAUACUUUUUAAAAGUCUUAAAGGUUUUAGCUAUUUAUUAUAUCUUAAUAAAUGUUUUUAUCCAUCACUAUUUAAUGUUAAAUCUCGCCUCACAAAUAAACUGAGGCAUGUACAGUUAAGUGACCUUGCCUAGCAUAACCUGUGGAAGAGCAGCAGAGAGGCCACAUCAAUGGCAGCCUGCACACUACCAUAGGAUGCAAGUCUCAAACUGCAACCUGUAAAAAUCACCACCCUGACAGUGAUUACUUUUCUGGUGCUGUUUUUUAGCCUGGGCUGACAAGGAAAGAUGGAUUUCCUCACAAAGAGUGGGAUGAGGCUCUUCUGUCUCUUUAUGAGGACAGCAGCAGUGGGCACCCACUCCCAAAUCACCCAGAAAAGUGCAGGCACAAUAAUACACUUUGGAUUAUUUACUUUUGAAAAGUGUGUAAAGCUGAGUGAUCAGCCCUGUGCUCUUCUUCCAUAUCUAAUUCUUUGAUGAGUAGUGCUGCUCAAAUAGUGUCUUAGAAUUAAUGUGCUGUGAAAAUGAAUAAAAUCCUUCACAUCUCAGAGCUAUCA
RNA transcript from Manacus vitellinus (golden-collared manakin), 2095 nucleotides. It is a transcript of the gene named stimulated by retinoic acid 8, with no coding region annotated. Lineage: Eukaryota; Metazoa; Chordata; Aves; Passeriformes; Pipridae. The transcript is spliced from 10 exons. The record is from RefSeq and is a predicted model, not a curated record.